GAUUGAACGCUGGCGGCAGGCCUACCCCAUGCAAGUCGAGCGGAUGAAGGGAGCUUGCUCCUGGCUUCAGCGGCGGACGGGUGAGUAAUGCCUAGGAAUCUGCCUGGUAGUGGGGGAUAACGUCCGGAAACGGGCGCUAAUACCGCAUACGUCCUGAGGGAGAAAGUGGGGGAUCUUCGGACCUCACGCUAUCAGAUGAGCCUAGGUCGGAUUAGCUAGUUGGUGGGGUAAAGGCCUACCAAGGCGACGAUCCGUAACUGGUCUGAGAGGAUGAUCAGUCACACUGGGACUGAGACACGGUCCAGACUCCUACGGGAGGCAGCAGUGGGGAAUAUUGGACAAUGGGCGAAAGCCUGAUCCAGCCAUGCCGCGUGUGUGAAGAAGGUCUUCGGAUUGUAAAGCACUUUAAGUUGGGAGGAAGGGCAGUAAGUUAAUACCUUGCUGUUUUGACGUUACCAACAGAAUAAGCACCGGCUAACUUCGUG
Molecule: ribosomal RNA, 485 nt
Filed under: uncultured bacterium
Lineage: Bacteria
Description: partial 16S ribosomal RNA
Rfam family: Bacterial small subunit ribosomal RNA
Source: RNAcentral